This 562-nucleotide ribosomal RNA is filed under the name uncultured fungus. RNAcentral describes it as "eukaryotic LSU rRNA". It matches the Rfam family "Eukaryotic large subunit ribosomal RNA", at positions 38 to 667 of the family's 3401-position model. Lineage: Eukaryota; Fungi. The record is from RNAcentral.
GCAUAUCAAUAAGCGGAGGAAAAGAAACCAACAGGGAUUGCCUCAGUAACGGCGAGUGAAGUGGCAAAAGCUCAAAUUUGAAAUCCUUCGGGAGUUGUAAUUUGUAGGUUGGGAGACCCCGCGGCUAGUGGCACCAAGUCCCUUGGAACAGGGCGCCUUAGAGGGUGAGAGCCCCGUAGGUACCACAAUACCGUCUUGUGUCUCCUCUCCAAAGAGUCGAGUUGUUUGGGAAUGCAGCUCAAAGUGGGUGGUAAAUUCCAUCUAAAGCUAAAUACCGGCGAGAGACCGAUAGCGAACAAGUACAGUGAUGGAAAGAUGAAAAGCACUUUGAAAAGAGAGUGAAACAGUACGUGAAAUUGUUGAAAGGGAAGGGCUUGCAAGCAGACACGGCCUUCGUGCCGGGCCAGCAUCGGUUGCUAGGGGUGGAUAAGGAACAAGGAAUGUAGCUCCUCGGAGUAUUAUAGCCUUGCGCGAUACACCCACUGGCGACCGAGGCCUGCGGUAUUCUUUACCUAGGAUGCUGGCGUAAUGGUUGCAAGCCGCCCGUCUUGAAACACGGACC